CGUAGGUGGCAAGCGUUGUCCGGAUUUAUGGGUUUAAAGGGUGCGUAGGUGGCCCUGUAAGUCAGUGGUGAAAUAUCUCAGCUUAACUGAGAGGGUGCCAUUGAUACUGCAGGGCUUGAGUACAGAUGAGGUAGGCGGAAUUGACGGUGUAGCGGUGAAAUGCAUAGAUAUCGUCAAGAACACCGAUAGCGAAGGCAGCUUACCAAGCUGUAACUGACACUGAGGCACGAAAGUGUGGGGAUCAAACAGGAUUAGAUACCCUGGUAGUCCACACUGUAAACGUUGAUGACUCGAUGUUGGCGAUACACAGCCAGCGUCCAAGAGCAAUCGUUAAGUCAUCCACCUGGGGAGUACGCCGGCAACGGUG
This 367-nucleotide ribosomal RNA is filed under the name uncultured organism. RNAcentral's name for it is "bacterial SSU rRNA". It matches the Rfam family "Bacterial small subunit ribosomal RNA", at positions 526 to 896 of the family's 1533-position model. The record is from RNAcentral.